ACGCUCGACACCUACGGGAAGCAGCAGUGGGGAAUAUUGCACAAUGGGGGAAACCCUGAUGCAGCGACGCCGCGUGAGCGAAGAAGUAUUUCGGUAUGUAAAGCUCUAUCAGCAGGGAAGAAAAUGACGGUACCUGACUAAGAAGCCCCGGCUAACUACGUGCUAGCAGCCGCGGUAAUCUGAGCGGGCUGGCAAGGC
This 198-nucleotide ribosomal RNA is filed under the name uncultured bacterium. RNAcentral's name for it is "partial 16S ribosomal RNA". It matches the Rfam family "Bacterial small subunit ribosomal RNA", at positions 326 to 539 of the family's 1533-position model. The record is from RNAcentral.